UCCUUGAAUUUUAUUCAAUUUCUUACCUAAAAAUUGUAGAUUUAUACCAAAAAAACAACAACAAAUGACUUCGCACACGGCAAAGACGGUAAUGCUCCGUGAGAUUAAUCCAUCCAAAGUUCCCUGCUCACCUCAACAUACAAAAACAAAAUCAAUGGGCAAAAUCAAUGGGUCUGUGUAGCCAAGUGCUUCUUUGCCUUGCUAUCUAUCCCAUGUGAAACCGACCUGAAUUCUCUCCCUUAAUCUUCUUCACCCCACGGUUUCUCUCUCUCUCUCUCUCUCUCUCUCCCUCUCUGUGUAUGUUCCAUUGAAGCUCUGUGAAUGAAAUUCCUGUAAAAGGGUGCGAAUUUGUGGCCUAGUUUAGAGGAUUAUAGGGUAUACCCACAAGCCGAGAACGGCAAAUCAAUCGGAUUUGAGGGGACCCUUAACUUCAUUCCCUGUGAUGCAUUCAUUCGUAAUUGGUGGGGUUUCCAUCGCCGCUCUUGGAUUUCUCUGUGUUGUGAGGGUUUGAUUUGCGUUUGUGCUAUACGUUUGGACUGGUUGUCAGUUGGGGAGCGAAUUCGCGACUGCUUUGGGAAUUAGGGUUUUUGAGGCUAAAGGGCAUUCGUAUCCGGGUUUGAUUUGGUGCUUCACUGGUUUCCUGAUUUGGGAUUUUGAGAUUGAGAGGGCAUGGCUUGAAGAUUUGAGUCUCGAAGUUUGAUGGUGUUUGGGUCUGGACCGGUCCGCGUUGCUUUCCUGUUUUGGGAAAUCGCUUGUUUGGCUUUCUAGGUUUGGGGUUUUCAGGCUAAAGAGUACUGGUGUUCUGGUCUUAUGUCCAAUCCGUCAUCUGUUUCUGAAUUCGGAUUCUUAAUGUUACAGGAUAUUGGGGUUUCAUUCUGAUAACUGGUUUAAGGGUUCACUCAGUUAACUUAUUGAGAUAUGAGCCGUAGGGUCCGAAGGAAAGUGGCAAGGAAGGGGAAGAACAAUGAAGUUUUGCCGAGCUACCCAGAAAUUGAGGAUGAGGAUUCGCAUCCUGAUGAAAAAGUGCAAGUGGAUUGGACUAAAUUACCUGAUGAUACAGUGAUUCAGCUGUUUUCUUGUCUGAAUUACCGGGACAGGGCGAGUUUGUCAGCAACCUGCCGGACAUGGAGGAUUUUGGGCAGUUCUCCAUGUUUGUGGCAAUCUCUGGAUCUCCGUGCUCACAAAUGUGAUGCUACCGCGGCAGCUUCACUUGCCUCUAGAUGUGUGAAUCUUCAGAAACUCCGGUUUCGCGGGCCAGAAUCUGCUGAUGUGAUAAUUAAUCUCCAGGCCAGGGGUUUGUGUGAAAUCAGUGGCGAUUACUGCAGGAAAAUUAAUGAUGCUACUCUCUCUGUGAUCGCAGCUCGACAUGAAGUACUUGAGAGCCUCCAACUUGGUCCAGAUUUUUGUGAAAGGAUCACCAGUGAUGCAAUCAAAGCAAUUGCAAUUUGCUGUUCUAAACUUAGGAAGCUAAGGCUUUCAGGUAUCAGGGAUGUUGAUGGAGAAGCAAUAAAUGCUUUGGCUAAGCAUUGUGGGGCUUUGACAGACAUUGGGUUCAUAGAUUGUCUCAAGGUUGAUGAGGUAGCAUUAGGAAAUGUUGUUUCAGUUCGGUUCCUCUCAGUUGCGGGAGCUCCAAGUAUGAAAUGGGGUGUGGCCACACAUCAUUGGGGUAAGCUCCCUAACUUGACUGGAUUAGAUGUUUCAAGAACAGAUGUUGUUCCAACUGCUGUUUCAAGAUUGCUGUCAUCUUCGCAAAGCUUGAAGAUCUUGUGUGCAUUAAAUUGUCCAGCUCUUGAGGAAGAUUCCAGCUUUGUCACCAAUAAUAACAAAGGUAAAUUGUUGUUUGCCAGCUUUACUAACAUUUUCAAAGGGUUAAAUUCUCUACUUGCUGGCACAACAAUGAAAGAGAGGAAUGUAUUCUCAAAUUGGAGAAAUUCGAAGAAAAAAGAUAAGAACUUGGAUGAAAUCAUGACAUGGCUUGAAUGGAUCCUCUCCCAUUCACUUCUACGUAUUGCUGAGAGCAACCCACAGGGUUUGGAUGAUUUCUGGCUCAACCAAGGUGCAGCACUGUUGCUCAAUUUGAUGCAUAGUUCACAGGAGGAUGUUCAGGAAAGGGCAGCCACAGGACUUGCAACUUUUGUUGUUGUUGAUGAUGAGCAUGCUAGCAUUCAUAGUGGUAGAGCUGAAGCAGUUAUGCGGGAUGGUGGGAUACGUUUUCUUCUAAACCUGGCAAGAUCUUGGCGUGAAGGGCUUCAAUCCGAAGCAGCAAAGGCUAUAGCAAACUUGUCUGUGAAUGCAAAUGUUGCGAAAGCUGUUGCAGAAGAAGGAGGAAUCAACAUUCUUGCAAAUCUGGCACGGUCUAUGAAUAGGAUGGUUGCUGAAGAGGCUGCUGGAGGCCUAUGGAAUCUCUCUGUUGGGGAAGAGCAUAAGUGUGCAAUUGCUGAGGCUGGUGCUAUAAAAGCUUUAGUUGAUCUUAUCUUCAAAUGGUCUACUGGUGAUGGGGUUCUGGAACGUGCAGCUGGUGCCCUUGCAAAUUUGGCAGCUGAUGACAAGUGUAGCAUGGAGGUUGCAGUGGUAGGUGGUGUGCAUGCUUUGGUGAUGCUAGCACGGAACUGCAAGUUUGAGGGAGUGCAAGAGCAGGCUGCUCGUGCCUUGGCUAAUUUGGCUGCCCACGGGGACAGCAACAGUAACAAUGCUGCUGUUGGACAAGAAGCAGGUGCUCUUGAAGCACUUGUGCAACUCAUACGUUCCCCCCAUGAAGGUGUCAGGCAAGAAGCUGCUGGUGCGUUAUGGAAUUUAUCAUUUGAUGAUAGAAACAGAGAAGCAAUUGCAGCAGCUGGUGGUGUUGAAGCAUUGGUUGCUCUUGCACAGUCCUGUUCAAAUGCCUCUCCAGGUCUUCAGGAGAGGGCUGCUGGUGCUUUAUGGGGAUUGUCAGUAUCAGAAACAAAUAGUAUUGCUAUUGGACGAGAAGGAGGAGUUGCACCUCUGAUAGCACUUGCACGCUCUGAUUCUGAAGAUGUCCAUGAGACUGCUGCUGGAGCUCUUUGGAAUCUUGCAUUUAACGCUGGUAAUGCUCUUCGAAUAGUUGAGGAAGGGGGAGUUCCUGCCCUUGUUCGUCUUUGUUCUUCAUCAGCAUCUAAAAUGGCACGCUUCAUGGCUGCGCUGGCAUUAGCAUACAUGUUUGAUGGAAGAAUGGAUGAAUUAGCACUGGUAGGGACUUCAUCAGAGAGCACGUCUAAAAGUGUGAGCUUAGAUGGAGCUAGGAGAAUGGCUCUGAAGCACAUUGAAGCAUUUGUCCUUACAUUUUCUGAUCCACAAGCAUUUGGUGCUGCCGCUGUAUCAUCAGCUCCUACAGCUUUGACACAAGUAACUGAAUCAGCUCGAAUUCAGGAGGCAGGUCAUCUGAGAUGCAGUGGUGCUGAGAUUGGAAGAUUUGUGAUAAUGCUGCGAAAUCCUUUUUCCAUACUUAAAGCAUGCGCCGCAUUUGCCCUUCUCCAGUUCACAAUUCCAGGUGGCCGGCAUGCAGUGCACCAUGUUAACCUUUUGCAGAAUGCUGGGGCACCACGGGUUUUGCGUGCUGCAGCUGCAGCAGCAACUGCACCACUCGAAGCUAAAAUUUUUGCAAGAAUAGUCCUCCGCAACCUAGAGCACCACCAGAUGGAACUUCAAGCCAAGGAGUAGUUUGGUCAGGGGGAAACAAUCUGAGCCAGGUUUGUUGAUGGAGGCAUUUUGUUCUCAGUUAGAUUUCAUUGGUUAAGUAGCAGACUGGUGUGCCGUGGCAAUAUGCUAUGUCUGUAACCUCAAUGAAGAACCUAGCACUGCGCCUGGGAACAGUUCUGGCAAAUCUUAUUCAAGGCGCUCUGUAAAUGUGAUUGGAAGUGUUAGAAAUGCCUCUGUUGCUGAUGCUGAAUCAUGAAUCUCUGUUGAAGUGGGUCAGGUAGAUUAUGCAUGUUCUCUUCAUUUCAUGUUCCCCUUUCUUUUUUGUCUUUUUUUAACAUGCUUUCAAGCUUACCUAUUAUUAUAUGCCUCAGAUCAAACUAUAGAGCCAAGGAGACAUUUUGGGUGUAAGUUUUUGCAUUAUAUUCAUGAUUGGUUGAAGGGUAAAGGUUAAAAGUUACAAUUCCCUUUACAAUAUUGAGAUAAAAUUGUGUACGAGAACAAUCAUAUUUUGAUCAUCAUCACAAUGGUUUAUAGCUUUAUUUUA
RNA transcript from Diospyros lotus (date-plum), 4201 nucleotides. It is a transcript of the gene named protein ARABIDILLO 1-like, with no coding region annotated. The record is from RefSeq and is a predicted model, not a curated record. The transcript has 13 exons. Lineage: Eukaryota; Viridiplantae; Streptophyta; Magnoliopsida; Ericales; Ebenaceae.